RNAcentral lists this transfer RNA (85 nucleotides) under Felis catus (domestic cat). It matches the Rfam family "tRNA". Rfam says of the family: Transfer RNA (tRNA) molecules are approximately 80 nucleotides in length. Their secondary structure includes four short double-helical elements and three loops (D, anti-codon, and T loops). The record is from Rfam by way of RNAcentral. Lineage: Eukaryota; Metazoa; Chordata; Mammalia; Carnivora; Felidae.
GCCUGGGUGGCUCAGUAGGUUAAGCGACCGAUUUCGGCUCGGGUCAUGUUCUCACGGUUCGUGGGUUCAAGCCCCGUGUCAGGCU